Molecule: ribosomal RNA, 239 nt
Filed under: uncultured bacterium
Lineage: Bacteria
Description: partial 16S ribosomal RNA
Rfam family: Bacterial small subunit ribosomal RNA
Source: RNAcentral
CCGGCGCACGGGUGAGUAACGCGUAUCCAACCUGCCCACCACUUGGGGAUAACCUUGCGAAAGUAAGACUAAUACCCAAUGAUAUCUCUAGAAGACAUCUGAAAGAGAUUAAAGAUUUAUCGGUGAUGGAUGGGGAUGCGUCUGAUUAGCUUGUUGGCGGGGUAACGGCCCACCAAGGCAACGAUCAGUAGGGGUUCUGAGAGGAAGGUCCCCCACAUUGGAACUGAGACGCGGUCCAA